This is a small nucleolar RNA of Boleophthalmus pectinirostris (great blue-spotted mudskipper), 131 nucleotides long. RefSeq annotates it as U8 small nucleolar RNA. The record is from RefSeq and is a predicted model, not a curated record. Lineage: Eukaryota; Metazoa; Chordata; Actinopteri; Gobiiformes; Gobiidae. The transcript has a single exon.
UCGUCAGUGAGGUAUAUCCUUACCUGUUACUCCUCCGGGAGUAUCAGAUCAUGAUGAAUGGAGAGUUAUGAGAGAUGAUUAUAAUCUCUCUCUUAUGGAGAAAAGCAACACUCCAUAGGAGCCAUUCUGAU